This 465-nucleotide ribosomal RNA is filed under the name uncultured bacterium. Its description in RNAcentral is "partial 16S ribosomal RNA". It matches the Rfam family "Bacterial small subunit ribosomal RNA", at positions 28 to 507 of the family's 1533-position model. The record is from RNAcentral.
GACGAACGCUGGCGGCGUGCUUAACACAUGCAAGUCGAACGGAAAGGCCCUGCUUGCAGGGUACUCGAGUGGCGAACGGGUGAGUAACACGUGGGUGAUCUGCCCUGCACUUCGGGAUAAGCCUGGGAAACUGGGCCUAAUACCGGAUAGGAGCCAUUUUUAGUGUGAUGGUUGGAAAGUUUUUUCGGUGUAGGAUGAGCUCGCGGCCUAUCAGCUUGUUGGUGGGGUAAUGGCCUACCAAGGCGGCGACGGGUAGCCGGCCUGAGAGGGUGGACGGCCACAUUGGGACUGAGAUACGGCCCAGACUCCUACGGGAGGCAGCGGUGGGGAAUAUUGCACAAUGGGCGCAAGCCUGAUGCAGCGACGCCGCGUGGGGGAUGACGGCCUUCGGGUUGUAAACUCCUUUCGCUAGGGACGAAGCUUUUUGUGACGGUACCUAGAUAAGAAGCACCGGCUAACUACGUG